UACGGAAGGCAGCAGUGGGGAAUAUUGCACAAUGGGCGCAAGCCUGAUGCAGCCAUGCCGCGUGUAUGAAGAAGGCCUUCGGGUUGUAAAGUACUUUCAGCGGGGAGGAAGGCGGUGAAGUUAAUAGCUUCACCGAUUGACGUUACCCGCAGAAGAAGCACCGGCUAACUCCGUGCCAGCAGCCGCGGUAAUACGGAGGGUGCAAGCGUUAAUCGGAAUUACUGGGCGUAAAGCGCACGCAGGCGGUCUGUUAAGUCAGAUGUGAAAUCCCCGGGCUUAACCUGGGAACUGCAUUUUGAAACUGGCAGGCUUGAGUCUCGUAGAGGGGGUAGAAUUCCAGGUGUAGCGGUGAAAUGCGUAGAGAUCUGGAGGAAUACCGGUGGCGAAGGUCGGCCCCUGGGACGAAGACUGACGCUCAGGGUGCGAAAGCGUGGGGAGCAAACAGGGAUUAGGAUACC
This 458-nucleotide ribosomal RNA is filed under the name uncultured bacterium. Its description in RNAcentral is "bacterial SSU rRNA". It matches the Rfam family "Bacterial small subunit ribosomal RNA", at positions 340 to 786 of the family's 1533-position model. The record is from RNAcentral.